RNAcentral lists this ribosomal RNA (482 nucleotides) under uncultured bacterium. RNAcentral's name for it is "partial 16S ribosomal RNA". It matches the Rfam family "Bacterial small subunit ribosomal RNA", at positions 30 to 507 of the family's 1533-position model. The record is from RNAcentral.
AUUGAACGCUGGCGGCAUGCUUUACACAUGCAAGUCGAACGGUAACAGGCCGCAAGGUGCUGACGAGUGGCGGACGGGUGAGUAAUGCAUCGGAACGUGCCCAGUCGUGGGGGAUAACUACUCGAAAGAGUAGCUAAUACCGCAUACGAUCUAUGGAUGAAAGCGGGGGACCGUAAGGCCUCGCGCGAUUGGAGCGGCCGAUGUCAGAUUAGGUAGUUGGUGGGGUAAAGGCUCACCAAGCCAACGAUCUGUAGCUGGUCUGAGAGGACGACCAGCCACACUGGGACUGAGACACGGCCCAGACUCCUACGGGAGGCAGCAGUGGGGAAUUUUGGACAAUGGGCGCAAGCCUGAUCCAGCAAUGCCGCGUGCAGGAAGAAGGCCUUCGGGUUGUAAACUGCUUUUGUACGGAACGAAACGGCUCUGGUUAAUACCCGGGGAUAAUGACGGUACCGUAAGAAUAAGCACCGGCUAAUUACGUG